GGGCGGAGAAAGGGGGGGCGGAGAAGAGGGGGCGGAGAACAGGAGAGAGAGGAGGGAAUCGAGGAGGAGGGAAGGGAAGGCAGCGGAGCUCAGCGGAUCCGAGAGGAGCUCAGCAACUCGGAGCUGAACUGAGCGCGCCGAGCGCUCCCCAGGCGCCGCUCUACCUGAGCUCCCCCGCCCCCUCUAGUGCCCCGCCCCCCACUGCGGCUCUACCUGCAUUCCCCCUCCGGGUAUCUGUUCCCAGCACCACCCCCCCUCAGCCAGGCACGCGCUGCUGCCGCUGCGGGACUGGCCGGGCACCUGGCACCUGGCGACCGCUGCGGGCACACCUCUCCACCUAGCUAGGCACUGGCAAGCGGGAGCCGCUCAGCCCGAGCAAGAGCUGGCGCGCAGACUGACAGACAGACAGACAGGCGGGUGGCCAGAAGGAGGGGACGCGAGAGAAGCAGGGUGCCGCCAACAAGGAAGAGCCCGCGGCCAACUUUGCCUCCGAGCGCCCAGGCUGAGCCUGUGCCCCCCAACAUGGCCUCCGCAGCCGCCGAAGCCCCGGGAGCCCAGGUGCUUUUGGGGAGACCGAAGAAUGGGAAGCAGAUGGGAUUAUGAAGGACCUGAGUAAGUGAAGUAUCCAAAGGACAACAAGCAGGUUAAUGAAGGGCUGUGAAAUGUCUUGUGAAGGUAGGUUCAAAGAGCUCAGGAUGUUUAGGCUGAAGAAGGGAAGAGUUAGGGGGCACACGAUGCUGUCUUUGUGUAUUUGAUGAGGUGUCACAAAGAAGAAGAGAUUGUUCUGGUUGGCCCUAGAGGGUAGAACCAGGAGCGGCAAGUGGAAGUUACAAAAGAACGAACAGAGGGGUGGGGAAAACUUCCUAACAUUCAAGCUACCCAUCCGUGGAAUGGGCUGCCUCUGGAUAGAAUGAGCUCCCUGGGAAGGAGUUCAUCAAUCAGAGGCUGGAUGUUGACAUUUCAGGAAUAUUCUAAAAGGGAUUCUAGUUCACGUCUGGAUUGAACUAGAUGAACCCCCAAAUCCCUUCAGUUCUGAGAUUCUAUGAUUUGAUGAAAAAAUUCGGCUGACACACAUGAAAUAGAAUAUACAACCAACAGUUUUCAAAGAACUAGAAUCAAGUGAAAUAUAUUCCCUAUCAAAACAAUGUUCCAAAGACUUUAAUCCUUCUCUGAUGAUUCUGAAGCCUGCAUUGCUUCAGGGUCGUUAAUGGGAAUAUCGUUUAUAAUUUUACUAUAGACUUAAGGAAGGCUUCACUAGCUGAGCCUGCCAGAUAAGCCAGCAUCUACACAGAAAUGCAUCUACGUGUGUAUGUCCUUCCUCUUCCAGGACGGGAUGAAGAAUGAAGGGGGGCGUGUCGUAGCGCUUUGUUAACCCCUCAUCUGUUCAAUGUCAGUAAUGUGGACAGUGUCUCUGGAAUGCUGGAGAAGAGAAUGCAUGGGAGAACAGGAGAGCUGACACUAAGUACUCGAAAGUCUUCUGGAUCCUAGAUUUAGAAUUGGAAGGACAUUGGAGAGCUAGCCUGUGGACGAGAGG
This 1534-nucleotide long non-coding RNA is filed under the name Phascolarctos cinereus (koala). RNAcentral's name for it is "lncRNA (ENSPCIG00000021423.2)". Lineage: Eukaryota; Metazoa; Chordata; Mammalia; Diprotodontia; Phascolarctidae. The record is from RNAcentral.